CUAACCCCUGUUAAUGUUGUUGUAGACAGAUUGAAGCAGCCGAAGCAAUUAGGUUUAUCUUCUUCUUCAUCUUAUGAUUCGUAUCUACUGGAACACUUUUUUCAUCUUCUAUCUUACUCAGAAUAAGGGAAUCUUUGAAGAAAUUGUUGAAGAAAUAACCCUUCCUCAUCAUUCACAAUUCUUCCGUGUCUGAAUUUUAUCUUCUGAAACCUUAUGCAAACCCUUUUCUCGAUUUUUCUGUUUGAAUUCCGAGCCUGUUGCAGUAUUGAUGGGUUAAUAUUCUCCGAGGAAUUCCAUUGAAGCAAAGCUACUGGGAUGAUAGUGCUGAUGUUUUAGGUUUGAUUAGAGCUGCCUCUUCGUCUACCUAUUCUCCUUAACUGAUUGAAAUGAUUUUGCUAGAAGUCAGUCUGAGAUGGUUGAAAUAAUGAGUGGUUGAGAUGGUGAAUUUGGGUUUGUCUUGGACUGAGUUUUAGCACUGAGAGGAGAUAGAGAAUUUGGUGAAUUCAUGAACUACAGUCGCUGUUGAAGCUCAAGAUGAUGGAAGUAGAAGAACAGAAAGUCGAAAGAAACUGGGAUUUGAGAUUUGGGUUCAUUGAAGCUGAUAAAAUGGGUGGAUCUGAAAUGGAAUUGCAGUUGCAAGCGGAAUAUGGUGUUGUUGCUGAGUGUGUUUGGUUGGAUAGUGAAUGAGCUACAGGGACGAAGAGUUGCAGUCACUGUGGUGACUGAAGCUCAAGCAAUGGAAUAGCAGGAGCUGCUUUGUAGAGCAGGUAUGAAUGAGCUGAUGGGAGUGUGUAUACAGAUAAGAAGGGAAUGACUGGAGUUGAAAUGAGCAGGUCAGAUGUUGGUGCUAUGAAAUGAUGCAGUAGCUUGAGAAAGUGUGCUGCGAAGAAUUCGAUGAUUGAGCUGACAUUGCAGAUCAUGGAUGGUGCUAUGUUAAUGGAUUUGACAGAGGAAGAGUGUGUCGCUGGUGACUAUUGCAGGCUAGGAAAGAUGCAGCCCAACUGAUGGUUGUUUACGCUGGAGGUUGAAAUGAUCGCAUGCGGGUUUGUUUCUGGUGGAGUUUUUGAAUGUAGAUGGAGGUGAAAUUGCAGGUUACAGUACAGCUGCAGAUGGUGAGUUAAAGCUGGUUCUGGUGUUGGCAGUCCUGGUGGUGCAAGAAGCAACUAUUGAGCUGAAGAUAGUGGAUUAGUGAUGUGUGAAGCUGAGGUGGUGUUGAAGCUAUGGUGAAACUGCAGACAAGGGUUUGAUGGUGGUCUGGUAUUGCAGUCUUGGACGCCUUGGACAUAGAGCUUACAACAACUAAAGAGGUAUACAUGGCAUAAAAUGAUGUGGAUGCUGCUGUGGUCGAUAGCUUGAAAAGGCAUAGUUUGAACCAAGUGAUGGAUGAUGGAGCAUAAAUUAUUAUCCGCAGAACGAGCAAGCAAUAAUUGCUAUCAAGAUUAGUUUUCCUACUCAAUGACGAGUAACGGGGUAACGAACGGGAACAAUAGCGUUAAGUGGGGUGUUAUAGAUCAGUUGCAUGCACUUCAGAAUGAAAAACCAUCAGCUCCUACUACUUCUAGAAGACGACAGGUGGAUGACGGAGCAAGCUUAUUAACAUCUGGUAGAAAGGGUAAGGUUAUGGUAAAAGCGAUUUUCUGUACUUCUAAUAACUUUUAUCAUUCCUUCGGAUUUCCCAUCUAAUAAUUAUUCUUCUUCGUUCUUUUUUCGUCUCUUUCCUGGCCAAAUAUGAUAUGCAUACAAACCUAAACAACAUGAACCAAUUUGAUUGUUUUCGUUGAGAUUUUCAUGGACUGACAGAUUGGAAGUAGUAAGGGUUUUUGUGUUGCUCACUCAGUUGUGAAAAUUCAUAGAAAGUUAAUGUUUUGCAUGACACCACAGGUAAAAUUUUAUUGUUCUUUGUUGUUCAAUAUAACUUCUAUGGUAAGCUCAUUCAACUUCUUCUGCAAUUUUAUUUUUCCAUAAAACUGUAAAUUAACUUUGAUUGGUUUCUGCUUAUUAUUUUGAGGAUAUUUGGAUGAGCUUGGACCACUUUGAGAGAUCAGCUGUAUUCGCCGUUACUCACCCUACCCGCUAUUGUUUUCAGCAACGACACAAUGGCUAGAGCAGGUACGUAGGAUCUCUCUAUAUAUAUAGAUCUCAUUAGAGUCACAAACUCGUAGUAAUUUACAUAUUUCUGAUCACUUCUUUCACAAAAUCAAUAUCAAUUCGUAGAUUGGGACUCAUUCUGAUUUCUGCAUCGUACGUUGUUGCGGCAAUGUGUGUUUUUUGUCUAAUGUUGCAUCAUUUUAUACAUAUGAAUUGUUUAUGUGAUUGAUUCACUCACUUGGGUUGUUGUUCAUGUGUUUGUGAGUCAGGGUAGACAGGCUACCCUCUUUAUUCACAGUUUAGAUUAGGCUAGACUUUCACUCAAUGUUUGAAUGGUUGCUUUAGAUUCACUCGGGUUUAUAUCGAGCAGUUAUUAAAAUUUAUUGGUUAAUCUAAACUUAAGUCAGUCGAUAUGUCUCGAAGCCCACCGGUGGUGGAUUAUUGCAGUGCACACUAGCAAGUUGAUGGCGUGGUUAAUUUAAAUUAUUUGGAUACAACUGAGAGUGUGGAGAAACUCAAGCACAAUGUGUGGACAUUUAUGAGCUAGAGGGAAGAAUUUAAUCAAUAGAUCUUGAUGCCCAACAACCGAGGCUGUGAAGAUAUUGUAGUGAUAUUUGUAGCUUAUUUUGUAUGAUCAUUUAGGGUUGUGUUUUGUUAUUACUGUAGAUAUGUUUAUGAUCCUAUUGCAAGUCUUACUAUAUUCUUACGAAUAGCUUCUUCUAUAUGCUUACUGUAGUAAUCAGUUUUGCAAUGCAAACUUUUAUAGAAUGUAGGGUAUCCGUAUUUUGAUAUUUCUAUUUUUUAUUAUUAAUCUAAAUUGGUUUUAUCGUGAGAUGAAAUAAUAAAACAAUACUCCCUCCCUUACCUGAAUUGCAUAAAAGAAAUGGAAGAUACGCUGCUAACUGGUGGAGGGUGAUUUUUACUGAUUCUGAUUUUCACGGGGCUAAUGUAAUUCAGAUGUCUUGCAGGUAAAAUCCAAACCUCAAAGUUUCAACAAAUGACAGGUAAAGAAGAACCCAUUAGUUCCAAUGUACAAUACAAAGAAAUGCCUUUCAGAAUGUAGACAACAGAUAUGGAGAGAGAGCAAUGGGACAACGAACAGAACAAGCUUCUAUAGUGGAGACCCUGUUCUAGUGAGAUUUUUUCUUUGAACAGUAAAAAAGAACCUUAUCAUUCUUGCGGAAUGAAGUCACAACGUCAAACUUUGCUCAAGUGGGUGUUAUGCAACUCAGAUAUGUGCACGAAUUGACAAAUUUAUUCUGCUUGAAUAUGAACACGUCAGUUCAUGUAUUCACGUCACCGGCAUUUUUGUACCCAAGAUUUUCCUAUACAUAGCACAGUCAUACCAAGAUUUUAACUCAACAGAGAUGCAAAGGUAUCCAAUUUCGGUCUCUUUCUUCUACAAGACACUUGAAGAACCCAAUCUUCAGUGUUUUGAGGCAUUGUAUAUAUGUGCCAGGGUUGUUAAGCUUGAAGUGACAAUUUUUAGGGCAUUAUUAUAAGUAUAUUUUGUGAAACUAAAUUAGGGUGAUAAGGCUGAUGUGUCCAUUUUAGGAAGUUGAUCCUAAUGUAGAAAAUGAUGAUUUGAUAUAUGUGGAGGAACAAAUAGCUUUUAUGUGAGUUUGAAAAUACCAUUCCUGGAAUUGAUGAAGCUAUGAGUUUAGCAGAGAUGCUCGAGUGUCAGGAACUACAUGUACAGUCUUAUACUCUCAGUUGGAUCUACUAAAGAGAUUUGUUGGUUCUGAAGAUCGUUAGGUUGAAUAGUUCUUUUGUCAAGUUAAUCAUGCUAAAUUCAAGAAGGGAGAGCAGAAAACUCACUGCACUGCUAUCACUUUCACUCUUUCGAUCUGCAUUUGGCUGUUUAAUAAGUAAUUAAGUAAAACAAAAACUAAAUUUGUGAACGAAAUGUUUUCCUUAAUUGGAUGUAUUCAAUGAAACCAUCAGAGUGAAGUGCCGGAAUUCUUAGCUUAGUUGUUGCUUACACAUGGGUAUGUAUAGUUGUCCCUGAAAAAUGACUAUUCAUUUAGUCUCUAUUAGGUGCACAAAUGGCCAUCAGCAAGUGUGAAAUAGGAUCUAAAGAUAGUUAAUGUUUACGACCACAUGCUCAAACUGCUUUAUAUUACUCAUCAUAUUAAAUCCCACUUAAAUGGGGAAAGGUAUCUGCUGUCUUAGUUCAAAUGGAAGAGCACAUGGUUCUCAACCAUGUAGUUGUGGGUUCGACUCCUACAGAUGGCAUUACUAUUUGGUGGAUCCAAUAAUCACUGUCUUCUACAAGUUCAUAGCAUCUUCAUAGCUUCAAAUUCUGGAAAAGCAUAUAUGGUUGCGUUCAUGCCAAGAUGUGCAGGGAGUCAAAUUAUUGACAUGCUACAGGUAUAUUGGUAUCAACUUAACCAAUUAGUUAUAACUUGGGAACCUUUAAAGGCAGAAUUAGUAUUCCUCAAUGCUUGGAAGGAAGCACUUCGGGAUACUUCAGCCAAAUCUUCUACAUUUCUUCUUUUAGUGUGAAAAGUGUGCUGUGAGGCUCAUUUUCUUUGUUUACACCAUCCGCAGAAUCUGCUCAUAAUUGAUAUAUUUUGCAAAUUGAUCAAUUUACUUUUUCAUGAUUUGAUUGUUUUUCUAACUAUAUAUAUAUCUGUGUCACUGUUAGAAACAUCUAAGAAUAUGCCUACAAAGCCAUGAUUUUUCUAAGCCUUCAAACCAUUAUAUGAUGCCUGAAUUUCUUGGUUAUUUUAAAUGAGAAAUUAAGCUUAGCAACUUUGUUACCAUGGCUGCUAGGAGCCCAAAAGUUCAGGUAGGCGUUGCUGCAAGAGGUAUUCCAUUUCAAAACCAAUAC
Long non-coding RNA from Papaver somniferum (opium poppy), 4921 nucleotides. RefSeq lists it as uncharacterized. NCBI's taxonomy places the organism in Eukaryota, Viridiplantae, Streptophyta, Magnoliopsida, Ranunculales, Papaveraceae. The record is from RefSeq and is a predicted model, not a curated record. The transcript has 11 exons.